UACAUGAACAAAAAACAGUUGC
Molecule: non-coding RNA, 22 nt
Filed under: Arabidopsis thaliana (thale cress)
Lineage: Eukaryota; Viridiplantae; Streptophyta; Magnoliopsida; Brassicales; Brassicaceae
Source: RNAcentral